Molecule: ribosomal RNA, 459 nt
Filed under: uncultured bacterium
Lineage: Bacteria
Description: partial 16S ribosomal RNA
Rfam family: Bacterial small subunit ribosomal RNA
Source: RNAcentral
CCUACGGGAGGCAGCAGUGAGGAAUAUUGGUCAAUGGGCGGGAGCCUGAACCAGCCAAGUCGCGUGAAGGAAGAAGGUACUUAGUAUUGUAAACUUCUUUUGUCGGGGAACAAAGGCGGAGACGCGUCUCCGGAUGAGUGUACCCGAAGAAAAAGCAUCGGCUAACUCCGUGCCAGCAGUCGCGGUAAUACGGAGGAUGCGAGCGUUAUCCGGAUUUAUUGGGUUUAAAGGGUGCGCAGGCGGGAGAUCAAGUCAGCGGUAAAAUGUCGGGGCUCAACCCCGGCCGGCCGUUGAAACUGGUUGUCUAGAGUUGGAGAGAAGUAUGCGGAAGUCGUGGUGUAGCGGUGAAAUGCAUAGAUAUCACGAAGAACUCCGAUUGCGAAGGCAGCAUACCGGCUCCAUACUGACGCUGAGGCACGAAAGCGUGGGGAUCGAACAGGAUUAGAUACCCCAGUAGUC